Molecule: ribosomal RNA, 1155 nt
Filed under: Salmonella enterica
Lineage: Bacteria; Pseudomonadati; Pseudomonadota; Gammaproteobacteria; Enterobacterales; Enterobacteriaceae
Description: partial 23S ribosomal RNA
Rfam family: Bacterial large subunit ribosomal RNA
Source: RNAcentral
UACCUUUUGUAUAAUGGGUCAGCGACUUAUAUUCUGUAGCAAGGUUAACCGAAUAGGGGAGCCGCAGGGAAACCGAGUCUUAAUUGGGCGUUAAGUUGCAGGGUAUAGACCCGAAACCCGGUGAUCUAGCCAUGGGCAGGUUGAAGGUUGGGUAACACUAACUGGAGGACCGAACCGACUAAUGUUGAAAAAUUAGCGGAUGACCUGUGGCUGGGGGUGAAAGGCCAAUCAAACCGGGAGAUAGCUGGUUCUCCCCGAAAGCUAUUUAGGUAGCGCCUCGUGAAUUCAUCUCCGGGGGUAGAGCACUGUUUCGGCUAGGGGGCCAUCCCGGCUUACCAACCCGAUGCAAACUGCGAAUACCGGAGAAUGUUAUCACGGGAGACACACGGCGGGUGCUAACGUCCGUCGUGAAGAGGGAAACAACCCAGACCGCCAGCUAAGGUCCCAAAGUCAUGGUUAAGUGGGAAACGAUGUGGGAAGGCCCAGACAGCCAGGAUGUUGGCUUAGAAGCAGCCAUCAUUUAAAGAAAGCGUAAUAGCUCACUGGUCGAGUCGGCCUGCGCGGAAGAUGUAACGGGGCUAAACCAUGCACCGAAGCUGCGGCAGCGACGCUGAUGCGUUGUUGGGUAGGGGAGCGUUCUGUAAGCCUGUGAAGGUGUGUCGUGAGGCAUGCUGGAGGUAUCAGAAGUGCGAAUGCUGACAUAAGUAACGAUAAAGCGGGUGAAAAGCCCGCUCGCCGGAAGACCAAGGGUUCCUGUCCAACGUUAAUCGGGGCAGGGUGAGUCGACCCCUAAGGCGAGGCCGAAAGGCGUAGUCGAUGGGAAACGGGUUAAUAUUCCCGUACUUGGUGUUACUGCGAAGGGGGGACGGAGAAGGCUAUGUUGGCCGGGCGACGGUUGUCCCGGUUUAAGCGUGUAGGUGUGUGUUCCAGGUAAAUCCGGUUCACUUUAACACUGAGGCGUGAUGACGAGGCACUACGGUGCUGAAGCAACAAAUGCCCUGCUUCCAGGAAAAGCCUCUAAGCAUCAGGUAACAUCAAAUCGUACCCCAAACCGACACAGGUGGUCAGGUAGAGAAUACCAAGGCGCUUGAGAGAACUCGGGUGAAGGAACUAGGCAAAAUGGUGCCGUAACUUCGGGAGAAGGCACGCUGACAC